This 2800-nucleotide long non-coding RNA is filed under the name Triticum aestivum (bread wheat). Its description in RNAcentral is "long non-coding RNA (TAES_LNC008665)". The record is from RNAcentral. Lineage: Eukaryota; Viridiplantae; Streptophyta; Magnoliopsida; Poales; Poaceae.
UAUGUUCGUUGUUGGACUAGCGCCUAGGCGCAAGAGGAAACAAACAUCAGGGAUAAUGCUCGAUAGGUUAACUGUGGGGACCCCGACUCAUAAGUCGUGAUCACCGAAUGCACGUGUACAGUGAUCCCAGAGAUCAAUGCUCACUGAACACACAGAAGCUGAAUAACAAGAGUCUUACAUCCAUACAUACCGUCUUACACAAAUUAUGACCAUUAUGGUCGAGUCUUACAUAGGUAAAGCCACAAGGGCUGAGUACCAAAUAAACUUAAGCAGCGGAAAUCUUCGUCGAUAAGUAGAACCCAUGCCAUCUGCCUUAACCCUACAGGCAUUCUGACUGGGAAACGUCCUAGUUCGCAUGUUCAACUCCAAAGAACUCUUCUUUGAACUCCUGUUCUUCCAUGCCUGGCCAAUUAAAUAACCAGUGGCAAGCCAAUGAGUACUUUGAAUGUACUCGCAAGCAAUCCAUGAUUGGAACAAGGCACAACAAUGCAAUGAUAUAGCACUAAGUAGGUAGUCUGCAGAAGCUAGUUUUGAGUGCAAUGACAUGAUCUAUCAACAUGUAAAGUAUGCAUCAUAGGAGUUCAGAUAUCCAUAUGAACAAGUUACAGAUCAACAUAAGCGGAGUUGGACACCAAUCCAACUUGAUCAUCGUGUCAAGCCAUCUGACUUAACCCAAUUAGUUUUAUCAACACACACACGGUUGUAAAAACUCUGGACAUAGUUUAAGCAGCACCGCCCAACUGUCCUUGACCGUGGACACGGCUAUUCGAAUAGUUUUACACUCUGCAGAGGUUGCACACUUUACCCACAAGAUCCGGGGAACUUCCGUGUCAUCCACGACCCGCGGUACCUCAAGUACCCGGGGUAAGCACCCGAUCACUAUCUUUCCCUAGACGACACGAACAUGGAGUCCACUCGAUUGGUAGUAACCCCCGUGCCCAACAUUUCACAUCUUAAAAUUGUGGAGCCUCGCUCCCAUAUUUAUCACAUACCACGGGGUACCAACGGUGUGUCCGGUGCCCUGUGAAAACAGUCAUGGCCGCCCUACCUGGCACGACCCCGUCCCGAGAGAGCGCAACAACUACUCUCCUAUCACCAGUAAUGCGGGCUCCAAGUUAGUAUCGGCCUAGGUAAUCAAUAAUGCCCUUUCCCAUAUAAGGGUAGAGUGGUUGCGCAUGUAAGGUUGGGACAGUCGACAAAUCUUAAAUCUAAUCCGUUUUCGAAAACCACACACACACUUGCCUCGGUACACCACUUCGUCAUCAAGUGGUUACCCAUCUCAUUAUCUCCCUCGGGCAUAAGUGGCACCCGACGGGGUUUUCCAAAAAGUCCUUUGAAAAUACUUUGCCUCCAUCACCAUGCAUAUUCCCGUCCCUUUUUGCGUAGCAACUACUUUAGCAUCCUAUCUACUCCCACCGGCAUAACCCUCAUAAGGAGGUAGGGUCAUGCACCAUGCAAGUAUCAACGAGGAAGUAACAGUGGCAAACCACCCCAUGUGGUCACCUCAUCAUCAUGUCUCCGAUGCAAGCAAUAAAAGUGCUAUAUGACAUGCAUAAAAAGGGUUUCAUAGACAUGGUCAAAGGGCUGCUUGCCUGGUUCAUCAGAGUCUUGAAAUCUUCUGAUCCUUCUCCAAAUACUCCGUCUACUUCGUCAACUAACGUCGGAAACAAUCACAAUAAGCAACACAACAAGGCAAAAUAAAAGUGCUCUAAAAAUAUUAAUUUGACUUUUCUAGGACAUCACUGGUUAUAUGAAAAAUAACCAGACUGGUUUCAUUGGAAUUGGGCCAGUGGAUAUUUCUAAACAUUUUGAUAUGAUGGAAUCAAGGGGUUUAUGGAUUUGCAAGAAGUGUACAGAAAUAUAUUUUUGAAAAAUGAGCAAAGUCACCCAUUUAACAAAUAAUGAUUUUAGAAGCAUCUAGGAAUUGGUUUCACUGGAUUUGGAGUUCAAAUUAUUUCUCUAUGAAUUUGCAAAGUUGGCUAUACAUGAAGAAAUAGACCAUUAUUUGAAGUGGUACAGAAAGUAUUAGUAAAAAUGUUCAAAAACUAAAUUUUGAACUUAUAAACAUCUAGGAAUUUGAAUUAUGGAAUUUGGAUAAAAAAUGGGCCCUCUGUGAUUUUCUAAAGUUUAUCACAGAAAUGGAAAAACAAGAUUUGAUAAAUGUUUGUGAAGAAAAUGUCUCUGGAAAAAUGUGCAUAUUGCACCAACAGGUAGAUCAUGAUUUAUGGAGUCACUAGAAAUUUGAAUCAUCAAAUUUAGAGUUAAUUUGAAUUAUUUAUGGAUUUGACAAAUUGUGCAGAAAAGAAAAAAGGAGAAGCUUUUUUCCCAAACGGGCCAGAUCUGGGCGGCAACCGCGCGCACUGAGCGCGGAAUAGCAAGUGGGCUGGCCCAGCGGUUCGGCUGCAUGGGCAUAGGAGGUGACGUCGAUGGCGCCUGCCCGGAAUACGUCUUGGCCGCGGGGAGACGGCUCCGAAGAAGUCGUGUCCACUUAUCCCACGGGCCCGGCCCUCAGGGUCGCCGACACGCGGGGCCCACCUGUCGGGUUCAUCCCCAACCUCCCGCUCGAACAGAGCAGAGGCAGGGGGCGGUGUCGACGGCGGCUUGCCGGCGCUACAGGCCACCGUUUUCGAUGAGCUGGCCACCGGCGUGCUCAGGGGACCCGGCCGAGUCCAACCGUUGGGUGCACGGUCGCCCAGGGGCACCGGGUCGAGCAGGGCACUGGCCGCGGCGGACGAGGCUGACGGUGAGGUUGGGGCACGGUGUUGCGGCCACGGAGAAGAAGAAAUGGAGUCCGGGAGAG